Sarcophilus harrisii (Tasmanian devil) is the source of this 2697-nucleotide RNA transcript. It is a transcript of the gene named acyl-CoA dehydrogenase family member 8, with no coding region annotated. The record is from RefSeq and is a predicted model, not a curated record. The transcript has 11 exons. NCBI's taxonomy places the organism in Eukaryota, Metazoa, Chordata, Mammalia, Dasyuromorphia, Dasyuridae.
CCCUCCUCCCCACCUCCGGCUCUCGUUCCCUCCCUGAGCUGCCCUCCGCCCGGCCGGGGUCUCCCACGGUGCCCUCCGUGACAAAUCUUAUCGAGUCCGACGUUGUAGGCGCUCCGCGAGCGUAGGGGUUUCCCUCGCCUUGAACAGUGCUGGUUAAAUGUUGGCUAAACGGAUUUCUCCGUGUCUCUGCCCUUGACUUCAAGUUGCUGCUUUGAAGUGGAGAGAUUAGAUCUGAAUCUGAUUGCACUCUAGUUACCGCUUUGCCUCUGAUCCUGUGACCGUGGACGCAGUAUUUCUACGAGAAUAUGGUCCUACUAUGUGCAGAGCGCCUGCGCGGUGCUGGGCGUUAAGGAGGUUGCGUCCUAAGCUUCCUUGGGCCUUAAUGAUGUACAGAAGGAGUUCCAGAAAGUGGCCUUUGACUUUGCCGCCCGGGAGAUGGCCCCACAAAUGGCAGAAUGGGACCAGAAGCAUGUGUGUCUGGAUGAUUGACUCCUUUGGAAAUGAAGAACAGAGACACAGAUUCUGUCCGCCGCUCUGCUCUAUGGAGAAGUUUGCUUCCUACUGUCUGACGGAGCCAGGAAGUGGGAGUGAUGCUGCGUCCCUUAUGACCUCAGCCAAACGCCAAGGGGAUUACUACAUCCUCAAUGGCUCCAAGGCUUUCAUCAGUGGGGGUGGUGAGUCAGAUAUCUAUGUGGUCAUGUGCCGGACUGGAGGACCAGGCCCUAAAGGGAUCUCCUGUCUGGUCAUUGAGAAGGGGACCCCAGGUCUCAGCUUUGGGAAGAAAGAGAAGAAGGUAGGGUGGAACUCCCAGCCAACAAGAGCUGUGAUUCUCGAAGACUGUGCUGUACCUGUGGCCAACAGGAUUGGAAACGAGGGGCAAGGUUUUCUUAUUGCCAUGAAAGGACUGAAUGGAGGGAGGAUCAACGUUGCUUCCUGCUCCCUUGGAGCCGCUCAUGCUUCAAUCAUGUUGGCCCGGGACCACCUCAGUGUACGGAAGCAGUUUGGAGAACCGCUGGCCAACAAUCAGUACUUGCAGUUCAAACUAGCUGACAUGGCCACUCGGCUGGUGGCUUCCCGGCUAAUGAUCCGCAGCGCGGCAGUGGCCUUGCAGGAAGAGCGGGAAGAUGCCGUGGCCUUCUGCUCCAUGGCUAAGCUUUUCACCACCGAUGAGUGCUUCGCAAUAUGCAACCAGGCCCUACAAAUGCACGGGGGCUAUGGCUACCUGAAGGAUUAUGCGGUGCAGCAGUACAUGCGGGACUCAAGGGUCCACCAGAUCCUGGAAGGUAACAGUCAGUGUGGCUGGGGUUCAACCGCUCCCUCCAGGCCCAGAGCUCAAGGCAGCUGCUCCAACGAGGAAACUGAGAAGACUGGGUAGAAUGGCUCGCCCAGGAUCAUCCGGAUAGUGCCUGGUGGAGGUUGCGAUUCACCAGGAUGAGUCCCUGAUUCCAAGCCCCGUGCUCCUGGCUGGCCUCCUGGCUAGUCCUCCCCACUCCAAGGAGGUAGCAACGAAGUAAUGAGAAUGCUCAUAUCUCGGAACUUGCUUCAGGCAUAGCACCAGGUGGUUUUUUAGGGCCGGUUCCUGCUUGUUCUGUCUCCUCUCCAGUAAUGAUGUUGAAUUAGAGGGGAACCCUGACACCAAGAAGCUGGACCCCGUAGGGCAGGACGCUCACUCCUCCGCUGGACCAGGGCCUCUUUUCCAACAGCAAAGCAUCCUGAGGAUUCAGGCAGGGGAAGGGCCGGUAGCCUGGAGUGGGGGAUUCCCCAGAAGGAAUUGCUUUGUGAUGCUGUUGAAGACUCUUGGUGGCCGGGAUUAGCACUUACACCACAGCCAAUGUACUUUACUAGUACCAAAUUGCCUUAAACUACCUACAUUUGACCCAUGUCCCAUGCAUUUAACAGUUGCCCUUUCUAUAGCACUUUGAGGCACUUUGAGUGCUUCAGAAAUCAUACCUAGGUGGGUAGGGCAAGUAUUUUCCCUGUUUACAGAGAAGACUACCGAAGCUUAGAGUAAAGUGACUUGUCCAAGGUGACCCAAGCUGGAUGGAACUGGGAUCUGUAAAGACUGACUCCGAGACUGGUGCUCUUCUCACCAUACGGCUGGAGAUUACCAGGCUAGGAACCUGGAUGCCUCCAUUAUGUGCGUUAGCUAAAUAGAGCAGAGACUGGAGGAAGAUGGAACCAAGGGGGAAUCCUGCUGUUUUUUAAAAAUGGAUCCGAUAGGCAUGCCCUGUACUGUGCUCUGAAAUAGCCCUUGAGUGCACCAUGCUAGCUCAUUUUAGAGCAAGACAGGCAGGUGGCCAAGUAAACAGCUAGCUGUGUGUGACCCUAGACAAGUUGCUUAACUUCGGAUUGCCUUAAUCUCCUGGAGAAUAAAAUGGAAAACCAUUUCAAUAUUUUUGCCAAGAAAGCCCCACAGAGGGACACAAAAGGUUGGAUGUGACUGAACAACAGAUCAAAGUAUUCAAGAUAGAAGAAAUCUUGCUCCUGAGCUAUAUAUCCAUUUUCUAUGCCCUCCCCACAGAUCAGGGGUGAUUUGCUGGAAAUUGAUUUGUUUCUCCUAGAAUCAUCAAUGAAAACAUGCAGAUAAGAGUAGAUUUGGGGUUUUUAGAACCCCUUCUCAUUCAUUCAAGAUUGGGUAUUUUUCUCAUAUUGGGAAGGAGUUUUGACAUUCUAAAUAAAACAUUCUUGCAAAUCAAA